GGUUUUAUAGUGUAGUGGUUAUCACUUUUGGUUUUGAUCCAAACGACCCCGGUUCGAAUCCGGGUAAGACCU
Non-coding RNA from Lachancea nothofagi CBS 11611, 72 nucleotides. Lineage: Eukaryota; Fungi; Ascomycota; Saccharomycetes; Saccharomycetales; Saccharomycetaceae. The record is from Rfam.